UACAGAGGGUGCAAGCGUUGUUCGGAAUUACUGGGCGUAAAGCGUGUGUAGGCGGUCUCAUAAGUCGGAUGUGAAAGCCCCGGGCUCAACCCGGGAAGUGCAUUCGAAACUGCGAGGCUAGAGUAUCGGAGAGGUUGGUGGAAUUCUCGGUGUAGAGGUGAAAUUCGUAGAUAUCGAGAGGAACACCGGUGGCGAAGGCGGCCAACUGGACGAAUACUGACGCUGAGACACGAAAGCGUGGGGAGCAAACAGG
Molecule: ribosomal RNA, 253 nt
Filed under: uncultured bacterium
Lineage: Bacteria
Description: partial 16S ribosomal RNA
Rfam family: Bacterial small subunit ribosomal RNA
Source: RNAcentral